UGCCAGCAGCCGCGGUAAUACAGAGGGUGCAAGCGUUGUUCGGAAUUAUUGGGCGUAAAGCGCGUGUAGGCGGCUUUGCAAGUCGGGUGUGAAAUCCCUCGGCUCAACCGAGGAAGUGCGCCCGAAACUGCAGAGCUUGAGUACCGGAGAGGAUGGUGGAAUUCCCCAAGUAGAGGUGAAAUUCGUAGAUAUGGGGAGGAACACCGGUGGCGAAGGCGACCAUCUGGACGGAUACUGACGCUGAGACGCGAAAGCGUGGGUAGCAAACAGGAUUAGAUACCCUGGUAGUCCACGCCGUAAACGAUGAGAACUAGGUGUUGUGGGUGUUGACCCCCGCAGUGCCGUAGCUAACGCAUUAAGUUCUCCGCCUGGGAAGUACGGCCGCAAGGCUAAAACUCAAAGGAAUUGACGGGGGCCCGCACAAGC
RNAcentral lists this ribosomal RNA (426 nucleotides) under uncultured bacterium. RNAcentral describes it as "bacterial SSU rRNA". It matches the Rfam family "Bacterial small subunit ribosomal RNA", at positions 506 to 930 of the family's 1533-position model. The record is from RNAcentral.